AGUGAACGCUGGCGGUAGGCCUAACACAUGCAAGUCGAACGGCAGCACCGUAAGAGCUUGCUCUUACGUGCGUCGAGUGGCGGACGGGUGAGGUAUACAUCGGAAUCUACUUUUUCGUGGGGGCUAACGUAGGGAAACUUACGCUAAUACAGCAUACGUCCUACGUGUGAAAGCAGGGGAUCUUCGGACCUUGCGCGAUUGAAUGAGCCGAUGUCGGAUUAGCUAGUUGGCGGGGUAAAGGCCCACCAAGGCGACGAUCCGUAGCUGGUCUGAGAGGAUGAUCAGCCACACUGGAACUGAGACACGGUACAGACUCCGACGGUAGGCAGCAGUGGGGAAUACUGGACAAGGGGCGCAAGCCUGAUCCAGCCAUACCGCGUGGGUGAAGAAGGCCUUCGGGUUGGAAAGCCCUUUUGUUGGGAAAGAAAAACAGCAGGUUAAUACCCCGCUGUUCUGACGGUACCCAAAGAAUAAGCACCGGCUAACUUCGUG
Molecule: ribosomal RNA, 492 nt
Filed under: uncultured bacterium
Lineage: Bacteria
Description: partial 16S ribosomal RNA
Rfam family: Bacterial small subunit ribosomal RNA
Source: RNAcentral